This 408-nucleotide ribosomal RNA is filed under the name uncultured microorganism. RNAcentral's name for it is "bacterial SSU rRNA". It matches the Rfam family "Bacterial small subunit ribosomal RNA", at positions 9 to 413 of the family's 1533-position model. The record is from RNAcentral.
GAGUUUGAUCGUGGCUCAGAUUGAACGCUGGCGGCAUGCCUUACACAUGCAAGUCGAACGGCAGCAUGAUCUAGCUUGCUAGAUUGAUGGCGAGUGGCGAACGGGUGAGUAAUACAUCGGAACGUGCCCUGUAGUGGGGGAUAACUAGUCGAAAGAUUAGCUAAUACCGCAUACGACCUGAGGGUGAAAGUGGGGGACCGCAAGGCCUCAUGCUAUAGGAGCGGCCGAUGUCUGAUUAGCUAGUUGGUGGGGUAAAGGCCCACCAAGGCGACGAUCAGUAGCUGGUCUGAGAGGACGAUCAGCCACACUGGGACUGAGACACGGCCCAGACUCCUACGGGAGGCAGCAGUGGGGAAUUUUGGACAAUGGGCGAAAGCCUGAUCCAGCAAUGCCGCGUGUGUGAGAAGG